This 125-nucleotide small RNA is filed under the name Marmota monax (woodchuck). Lineage: Eukaryota; Metazoa; Chordata; Mammalia; Rodentia; Sciuridae. The record is from RNAcentral.
GACGGGUGUGGUGGCACACACCUGUAAUCCCAGCGGCUUGGGUGGCUGAGGCAGGAGGAUCACAAGUUUAAAGCCAGCCUCAGCAACCGUGAGGUGCUAAACAACUCAGUGAGAUCCUGUCUCUA